Molecule: ribosomal RNA, 484 nt
Filed under: uncultured bacterium
Lineage: Bacteria
Description: partial 16S ribosomal RNA
Rfam family: Bacterial small subunit ribosomal RNA
Source: RNAcentral
AUUGAACGCUGGCGGCAUGCUUUACACAUGCAAGUCGAGCGGCAGCGCGGGCUUCGGCCUGGCGGCGAGUGGCGAACGGGUGAGUAAUACAUCGGAACGUGCCCAGUAGUGGGGGAUAGCUCGGCGAAAGCCGGAUUAAUACCGCAUACGACCUGAGGGUGAAAGCGGGGGAUCUUCGGACCUCGCGCUAUUGGAGCGGCCGAUGGCAGAUUAGCUAGUUGGUGGGGUAAAGGCCUACCAAGGCGACGAUCUGUAGCUGGUCUGAGAGGACGACCAGCCACACUGGGACUGAGACACGGCCCAGACUCCUACGGGAGGCAGCAGUGGGGAAUUUUGGACAAUGGGCGAAAGCCUGAUUCAGCAAUGCCGCGUGUGUGAUGAAGGCCUUCGGGUUGUAAAGCACUUUUGGCGGGAACGAAAAGGACUGUGCCAAUACCACGGUUCGAUGACGGUACCCGCAGAAUAAGCACCGGCUAACUACGUG